UAACUUCCGACCCGACUUUGAUCUUGCUGAAUCGGCCUCCUCGGCUUGGCGAAUCGCGUCCGGAUUCAGCUCCAGUACGCCGCGGAGGUAGGGGUUGAGGUCGUUGAUUCGGUCCAGGUAGAAGUUGACCAGCUGUUUGGAAGUUAGAGUGUUGUCGGCGAAGGCGAGCUGGAUCUGGUCGACGGUGGCUUCCUCGAAUGGGAAAUGCGUGGCCGUGACGGUGAAGAAUGCGGCGGAUAGGAGGAGGAGGAGCUGAGCUAUUGGUCCGCCGUUGUUCGCCAUUAUUUUGAUCGAUUUCUUACUUGUGGUUGUUCGGGAAAUAUUAGGGAUUUUGAAAAAGUCAAAGUCUCUGCCUGGGGAGAAGUGAACGGCUUACUACUCCCGAUGGCGGGAACAUGUGACGGAAUUACAAGCUGAUCACUUUAAUUAUGGAUACAUACAGAGAGAUCACUUAAUUUAAAACUUUAACGGCUUAGUGACUCAAGUUUAAAAUAACCAACAGAAUGAGAAUUUCAUGAUACAACAAUGACUGUAUUCUUUUUCAAUAUUGAUAACUUUAUGGUGAGAUUGAUUUAUGGAAGAUAAGAAAUUACAAGGAUAAAGAUAAGACUCAAAUGAAACUUUUUUCAUUGAUGAAUAAUUAGGAUUUCAUGUCACUUUAUUUUAAGAACAUUACAAACUACUUCCAUAACUAUGUCCAAAAUUUUGUAAGCCUUGAAAACUCAUUAGUCAUUAAAAAAACUCAAGCCACUAUCUCCCUUGCCAAAUGAAACCUUCGAAUGGGCUAAUCUUCAUUUUCACCAGUUGAUCACCCAAUUAAAUCAACCGAUUCGAAUAUGGUUUUUCAACCACUCAUAACCUCUUUUUUUUUAACCACCACUCAUAAACUCUUAGAUCAUCGUAUAUCUCAAACAUACAAACAGUCAUGCCAUUCCUAUUCCGGGAAAUAAUCUUAGUACUGCAUGAUAGCCUUGAUAUUACCUAAUCUCGUACUAUUCCGAGGCAACUAUCGAUCUGUCAGUUUUUUACCACGGAAUUGUGCGAACAUCGUUGCUAAUCGGACUGUUUGGUUGCUGUAAUUGCAUUCUAUGCAUAUACAAAAUUUCAUCUUCUAGCUCUGUUUACAGAAUUGUACAGACCGGCAAAUCUUAGUUUCGGGGUUGCUGGAAAUUGCUCCAUUUUGGGGGGUUGUAUUUCGAGCUGCAAUUUCGAGGUUGCUGGACAUUGAUGUUUUUGUUGUCCUAUGUUUGCAGGCGCCUAACUACCUGAACAUCAAGGGAUUGCUGGACCUGACCUGCCAAUACGUUGUGGACAAUAGAAAGGGAAGAUGCCCGAGUAGAUUCGCGAGACAUUCCACAUCAAGAACUAUUUCACCAAAGAGCAGGAAGCAGAGGUCCGGAAGGAGAAUGCCUGGGCAUUCGAGUGAAAACUAAGCAUUAUAUAUGACUUCUGUUAGGUCAUUCCUUUCUCAGUGUCUGUCAUUGAACCUUGCCUCUGGUUAAUGUAUCAAAGCAUAGUAGUUCAUCGAAUUUUAACUCAGAAAACUCGAAGCAGAAUAAUACAUCUCUGAGUUCAAUGGGAAGGAGGAGGAGAAGUGUGGAGGAGGGGGCUUACGUGCUUUCGUCGCUUGCUCGAACGAGUAAGCAGCCUCAAUGAGCUUAGGUUCGGUGCCUUUCAACCCUCCGAACACGAUCCCAAACGGCUUCCCCUCGGAACUGUACCCAGCGGGGACGGAAAUCCCAGGGUACCCACCAAUGGCUAGCACCGACGAAAUGUCCGAGCCCACCGUGACCAGUGCGUCCAGCUCGUGCCAUUUCAUCGUUGCUUCGAACCCUUCUUGUGAUAGAUUGUCCAUCGACUGAAUCGCCUUCGUUUCAUUCUUGCCUAUCCCGUUCGUCAUCUCCGCGGCCUCCAUAAGUUCUUGUCCGAACUCCUCCAUUUUCUCCUGCACCAUUAUCAUCAUCCACACAUUAUCCAUCGCCUGAUUCUCUCGCGUAACCACCGUUACAACACGAUUUCGAAAAAACAUUUACGUACCAGUUUUGGGUUAUUGACGUUGAAAGCGAGGAUGUCAGCCAGCGACCUCACAGGCGAUUCGACGAGGUCUUCUUUGAGGUAACGAUUAAUCGCAACCUUGAAGUCGGCAAUCAUUACCGCCAUUUCGCCGGAUUGAAACGGGUUGAGCACAAAUUCCACCUUAGCUAUCUCGACAUUGUCUAUAACAGUCGCACCCUCUUGAACGAACACUUCCACGUGGCGGUUGAAGGUAGUUAAAACGGUUGAGUCAUUGAACUUGUCUACAAAUGGACUUCUUACAAUGCCUAUCCUUUUCCCCUUCAACCCAUCCUUUUUCAAAAACUGUUUGUAUCCACCGCAAGGUAUGAACUUUGAUGCUUCUCUUGUUGCUACUCCGUCGCGAGGGUCGAACCCAACAAUUGCCUCUAACACGUAGACUGCGUCCGACACUGUCCGGCAUAUCGGCCUGCACCAUACCGAAUUGGUGAAUCUAACGGUUCAAAUUGAUAACCAAAACCGAGUACGAGAAAUCAAAUUUGAUUUUCAGAGGGAUCAAGGAUUGGUCUUUACCCAAUCGUGUCCGGGCGAGGAGAGACGGGUAUCACUGCCGGAUUGGAGUGAUUCUCGUCUCCCCUCUCUCCUCGCCAGGACCAGACCGAAUCAGUGAAGCUAACAGUUCAAAUAGCUAACCAAGUAUGAGAAUUCGAAUUUGAUCAAGGAUCGGUCUUUACCCGAUUGUGUCCUGGCGAGGGGAGACGGGAAUCACUCCGGCCCGGCUGGUUAGGCCGACUGUCGGUUUGAACCCAACGACCGAGUUGUGAUCAGCCGGGCAGAGUAUUGAACGGUCGGUUUCGGUCCCUAGUGACACAGCCACCAUGUUUGCAGCUACCGAGAUUGCUGACCCGCUGCUCGACCCGCACGGAUCUGCCCCUUCCACGUAUGGAUUCUGAGUGAAAAUCCAGAAAGCCGAAACUCAUUUCGAAUACUUUCGAAUGAGAACAAAGUGAUCUUAACAAAAAAACUGAUAAUCUAAAAUUUUAACUAACCACAGCUUGGCCGCCUCUGGCGGACCACCCGUUGGGAAUCUGGAAAGACCUGACGCGGUACCACUCGCUCUGGCUGGCCUUCCCUAAGAUGACGGCGCCGGCUUCCCGGAGCCGGUUCACAAAUUCGGCGGCAAGCCGCUUCACUACGCCGGCGUCACGUACGGCCGUCGAUCCCAGCAGCGCGUACGAUCCACACGUCGUGUUCAUCAGAUCCUUCGUCGCUAUCCCGUCCUUUAACAGAACAGGAACGCCAUGCAGAUCCCCUAACUUCCGACCCGACUUCGAUCUUGCUGAAUCGGCCUCCUCGGCUUGGUGAAUCGCGUCCGGAUUCAGCUCCAGUACGCCGCGGAGGUAGGGGUUGAGGUCGUUGAUUCGGUCCAGGUAGAAGUUGACCAGCUGCUUGGAAGUUAGACUGUUUUCGGCGAAGGCCAGCUGGAUCUGGUCGACGGUGGCUUCCUCGAACGGGAAGUGUGAGG
RNAcentral lists this long non-coding RNA (3538 nucleotides) under Linum usitatissimum (flax). RNAcentral's name for it is "long non-coding RNA (LUSI_LNC002667)". Lineage: Eukaryota; Viridiplantae; Streptophyta; Magnoliopsida; Malpighiales; Linaceae. The record is from RNAcentral.